GGGGAUUUAGCUCAGCGGUAGAGCGCUUGCUUAGCGAGCACAAGGCCCUGGGUUCGGUCCCCAGCUCCG
Rattus norvegicus (Norway rat) is the source of this 69-nucleotide non-coding RNA. NCBI's taxonomy places the organism in Eukaryota, Metazoa, Chordata, Mammalia, Rodentia, Muridae. The record is from Rfam.